Molecule: ribosomal RNA, 1496 nt
Filed under: uncultured bacterium
Lineage: Bacteria
Description: bacterial SSU rRNA
Rfam family: Bacterial small subunit ribosomal RNA
Source: RNAcentral
AGAGUUUGAUCCUGGCUCAGGAUGAACGCUGGCGGCGUGCCUAACACAUGCAAGUCGAGCGAGAUUAAUGCAAGUGGAGACUUCGGUCAAAGCGACCAUUAUGAAAGCGGCGGACGGGUGAGUAACGCGUGAGCAAUCUGCCCCAUACAAAGGGAUACCCACUGGAAACGGUGAUUAAUACCUUAUAAGACCACAGAGUCGCAUGACUUAGAGGUCAAAGAUUUAUCGGUAUGGGAUGAGCUCGCGUCUGAUUAGCUAGUUGGUGAGGUAAUGGCUCACCAAGGCGACGAUCAGUAGCCGACCUGAGAGGGUGACCGGCCACACUGGAACUGAGACACGGUCCAGACUCCUACGGGAGGCAGCAGUGGGGAAUCUUCCGCAAUGGGCGAGUGAGCGAAGAAGGUCUUCGGAUUGUAAAGCUCUGUGAUAUUGGACGAACAAUUUCCCGUAAAUAAUGGGAAGGAAUGACGGUACAAUAAGAGGAAGCCACGGCUAACUACGUGCCAGCAGCCGCGGUAAUACGUAGGUGGCAAGCGUUGUCCGGAAUUACUGGGCGUAAAGGGUGCGUAGGCGGUAAUGUAAGUCAGGUGUGAAAGCCCGAAGCUCACUUCGGGAUUGCACUUGAAACUACAUAACUAGAGUACAGGAGAGGUGAGUGGAAUUCCUAGUGUAGCGGUGAAAUGCGUAGAUAUUAGGAGGAACACCAGUGGCGAAGGCGACUCACUGGACUGUAACUGACACUGAGGCGCGAAAGCGUGGGGAUCAAACAGGAUUAGAUACCCUGGUAGUCCACGCCGUAAACGAUGAGUGCUAGGUGUCGGCUCUUAAAGGGUCGGGCCGCAGUUAACGCAUUAAGUGCUCCGCCUGGGGAGUACGCACGCAAGUGUGAAACUCAAAGGAAUUGACGGGGACCCGCACAAGCAGCGGAGCAUGUGGUUUAAUUCGAAGCAACGCGAAGAACCUUACCAGGUCUUGACAUCCCUCUGACCGGUCCGUAAAACGGGUCCUUCCCUUCGGGGCAGAGAUGACAGGUGGUGCAUGGUUGUCGUCAGCUCGUGUCGUGAGAUGUUGGGUUAAGUCCCGCAACGAGCGCAACCCUUGUGUUUAGUUGCCAACAGGUUAAGCUGUGCACUCUAAACAGACUGCCGUGGAUAACACGGAGGAAGGUGGGGAUGACGUCAAAUCAUCAUGCCCCUUAUGAUCUGGGCUACACACGUGCUACAAUGGUCGGUACAACGGGCAGCGAAAGAGCGAUCUGGAGCAAAUCUCCAAAGCCGAUCCCAGUUCGGAUUGUAGGCUGCAACUCGCCUACAUGAAGUUGGAGUUGCUAGUAAUCGCGAAUCAGAAUGUCGCGGUGAAUGCGUUCCCGGGUCUUGUACACACCGCCCGUCACACCAUGGAAGUUGGGGGCGCCCGAAGCCAGUGGUCCAACCCGUAAGGGAGGAAGCUGUCGAAGGUGAAACCAAUGACUGGGGUGAAGUCGUAACAAGGUAACC